UAGAUUCCCUUAAAUUUGACGUAUUAAGUAUAACCUGUAAACAAAUAAACUUGAGGAUUUUUAUAAACUUUUUAAACAAACUUUAUUAAAAAGAAUUUAAAUGAACCUCCUUAGUGAAUGUAAACAAAAGAAAAGAAAUGCUAACUCAAUUCGUUUUAAGGGGCAAAAGUAUGAUAAAAAGGAACUUUUAAGGAGCUUAAAUUGCAAAGUGGUUAUUGAGAAAUCUCGGUGCGUUGAGAAAUUAAUUUUAGCCCAAUUGUAUAAAGUGGAAAUACGGAUCCGUUGUAAUAAUCACUCGCACACAAAGCUAGGAAAUUUUCGCAUGCUUUCGAGCAAGCUUCGCAAAACAAUUCUAACUUUAUCGUUCCUAAAUCGGUGUGUAAUGUUGCAGCCUAAAAAAUAAAUUAAUUAAAUAAAUUUAAACCAUAUUGAGGUUAGGUUAUCUGUCAAUGAAUUGUUGCUGUUUAAUCUAACCUAAAAGUGUGAAGAAACGCGUUCGUUAUAAAAAAAAUUGAUUUAAUGUAAAAAUAAGUGAAAUUUAAUACGCUUUUAUUUGGUUUAUAUGAAAAUCGAUUAAUUAACUUUAUUCUAAAAUAGAUUUAGAAUUUAAUUUUAUAGGAAAAUUAAUAACCUAACACUUUCGUGGCUCCUUAGUGAAUGUAAACAAAAGAAAAGAAAUGCUAACUCAAUUCGUUUUAAGGGGCAAAAGUAUGAUAAAAAGGAACUUUUAAGGAGCUUAAAUUGCA
Onthophagus taurus is the source of this 746-nucleotide non-coding RNA. Lineage: Eukaryota; Metazoa; Arthropoda; Insecta; Coleoptera; Scarabaeidae. The record is from RefSeq and is a predicted model, not a curated record.